AUACGUAGGUGGCAAGCGUUGUCCGGAAUUAUUGGGCGUAAAGCGCAUGUAGGCGGUAAUUUAAGUCUGUCGUGAAACUGCGGGGCUCAGCCCCGUAUGGCGAUGGAAACUGGGUUACUUGAGUGCAGGAGAGGAAAGGGGAACUCCCAGUGUAGCGGUGAAAUGCGUAGAUAUUGGGAAGAACACCGGUGGCGAAGGCGCCUUUCUGGACUGUGUCUGACGCUGAGAUGCGAAAGCCAGGGUAGCGAACGGGAUUAGAUACCCCGGUAGUCCUGGCCGUAAACGAUGGGUACUAGGUGUGGGAGGUAUCGACCCCUUCCGUGCCGGAGUUAACGCAAUAAGUACCCCGCCUGGGGAGUACGGCCGCAAGGCUUAAACUCAAAUGAAUUGACGGG
Molecule: ribosomal RNA, 395 nt
Filed under: uncultured bacterium
Lineage: Bacteria
Description: partial 16S ribosomal RNA
Rfam family: Bacterial small subunit ribosomal RNA
Source: RNAcentral